GGAACGUUCACUUUUUGAGACGUGGUCACGUCUCACGAGGAUGCACGAAAAUAAAAUUACAAAAAUGUGGUCAUGCCAACUUUAGUGGGUGUUGCAGCUUUCCAUGCUCUCCAUUCCAUACCUGUUUGGCAGAUUUGAGGCCUGAGCCAGCCAUCGUAACAGCAAUGUUUUGCUUGUGCUGGACCUCCAGUCAUAUGAUUUGACCGAUGACCUCCUGUCAUCAGCAACAAUCACAGUAUCAUUGCUUAGAUAAACAGCAUCUUCUUUAACUGGAGAAACUACCAAUGUCGAUCGAGUGGGACGGAUCUCUUCAAUUCCCUUUUACUGAGAAUGGAUGGAGCAACUGACGUAGAUGCCUGGCUGUAUUUCCCAGGCUUAAAGGUAGGA
This is a long non-coding RNA of Daphnia pulex (common water flea), 387 nucleotides long. RefSeq lists it as uncharacterized. The transcript has 3 exons. Lineage: Eukaryota; Metazoa; Arthropoda; Branchiopoda; Diplostraca; Daphniidae. The record is from RefSeq and is a predicted model, not a curated record.